Molecule: long non-coding RNA, 292 nt
Organism: Bombus pascuorum
Lineage: Eukaryota; Metazoa; Arthropoda; Insecta; Hymenoptera; Apidae
Exons: 2
Source: RefSeq, a predicted model, not a curated record
GAAAACAGAAUAUGUAAAAAAUCUUGAAUCAAUGAUUACCAAUAGCAUUGUAUAAUGGUUCUCCAGUAAUAGAGUCCCAUACAAUUGUAGUUUCUCUUUGGUUUGUUAUACCAACUGCAACUAUAUCACUAGGAUCAAUGGAUCUUGUUCGACCCAUCCUUCUUUUGGACAUGAUUGUGAUAUCGAGACUUGAUGAUAUGUUAAUACUUCGGCAGUAUCCGCAGCAAAAACCUAAAAUAAUGGUGCAUACAUUAGUAAAUCAUUAAUAAAAAUAUAAAGAAUGUAUAUAGAA